CCAUCUAUUGUUCCAAACAAGGCUUGUUAAAAAUGACACACCACCAAAAUAGUACCUUAAUUAAUAAUCUUAUGCCUAAUCUUAAAAUAAAAUCUUUCAUAUGUACAAAAAAUAUAAGUAGCACCAGAGACUUCUACAUUUUAUUAGUCAUUGUAGAGAAAACUCUCAUAUGGUGUCCCGGUAAGCACUUUUUGGACUUCAUCCCAGUUUUCAAUUUGCAUUGAUAAUGGGGCGGUAUGUAUCUUCACUUGACGACUCUCCAGUUCUCUGUAUGGCACCC
Molecule: long non-coding RNA, 280 nt
Filed under: Trifolium pratense (red clover)
Lineage: Eukaryota; Viridiplantae; Streptophyta; Magnoliopsida; Fabales; Fabaceae
Description: long non-coding RNA (TPRA_LNC011213)
Source: RNAcentral